RNAcentral lists this transfer RNA (67 nucleotides) under Polycera hedgpethi. RNAcentral describes it as "tRNA-Asn". The record is from RNAcentral. Lineage: Eukaryota; Metazoa; Mollusca; Gastropoda; Nudibranchia; Polyceridae.
GAAAGUGAAGCUAUUGGAGCAUUUGAUUGUUACUCAAAUAUAGCACAAUUAUCUUGUGCCUUUUUCG